AUUGAACGCUGGCGGAAUGCUUUACACAUGCAAGUCGAACGGCAGCAUAGAGAGCUUGCUCUCUGAUGGCGAGUGGCGAACGGGUGAGUAAUAUAUCGGAACGUACCUAGUAAUGGGGAACAACCAGCCGAAAGGUUGGCUAAUACCGCAUACGACCUACGGGUGAAAGCAGGGGAUCUUCGGACCUUGCGUUAUUAGAGCGGCCGAUAUCUGAUUAGGUAGUUGGUGGGGUAAAGGCCUACCAAGCCGACGAUCAGUAGCUGGUCUGAGAGGACGAUCAGCCACACUGGAACUGAGACACGGUCCAGACUCCUACGGGAGGCAGCAGUGGGGAAUUUUGGACAAUGGGGGCAACCCUGAUCCAGCCAUUCCGCGUGAGUGAAGAAGGCCUUCGGGUUGUAAAGCUCUUUCGCAAGAGAAGAAAUCUUACUAUCGAAUAAAUAGUAAGGAUGACGGUAUCUUGACAAGAAGCACCGGCUAACUACGUGCCAGCAGCCGCGGUAAUACGUAGGGUGCGAGCGUUAAUCGGAAUUACUGGGCGUAAAGCGUGCGCAGGCGGUUUUAUAAGUCAGAUGUGAAAUCCCCGAGCUCAACUUGGGAACUGCGUUUGAAACUGUAAGACUAGAGUGUGUCAGAGGGGGGUAGAAUUCCACGUGUAGCAGUGAAAUGCGUAGAUAUGUGGAGGAAUACCAAUGGCGAAGGCAGCCCCCUGGGAUAACACUGACGCUCAUGCACGAAAGCGUGGGGAGC
RNAcentral lists this ribosomal RNA (750 nucleotides) under uncultured beta proteobacterium. RNAcentral's name for it is "bacterial SSU rRNA". It matches the Rfam family "Bacterial small subunit ribosomal RNA", at positions 28 to 769 of the family's 1533-position model. Lineage: Bacteria; Pseudomonadati; Pseudomonadota; Betaproteobacteria. The record is from RNAcentral.